Taeniopygia guttata (zebra finch) is the source of this 1924-nucleotide long non-coding RNA. The record is from Ensembl. Lineage: Eukaryota; Metazoa; Chordata; Aves; Passeriformes; Estrildidae.
GGCGGAUAAGGGGAGCGCUGUGGAGCGCGGGGCCUGACGGGACUUGUAGUCCUGGCUCGGUUAAGCCGCCAUGGAGCCGCUGUGCAUGACGGGGCUUGUAGGCUCAAAGUCGCUAAAAUGGCGCCGACACCAGGCCCCGCCUCCAGGUGCUGUUCCCGGGUGCUGAUUGGUUGCAGACAUUGAUAGGCGGGAGCCUCAGCCAAUGGGAGGCGGCAGAGGCGGGACCAGCCCAUUCAACCCCUCCAGUCCCUCCCAGUAAAACCCAGUUAAUCCCAGUCCAGGCUAGUUCCUCCCAGUACAGCCCCAGUGCCCCUCCAGUCCCUCCCAGUGCAGCCCAGUUUGCCCCUGUGCCUCCCAGUAUCUCCCAGUUCUACCAGUGCCACUCCCAGUUCGUCCCAGUCCAUCCCAGUUUGUCCCAGUGCAUCCCAGUGCCACUCCCAGUCUGUCCCAGUGCUCCCAGCAUCCCCCAGUGUCACUCCCAGUUCAUCCCAGUAUCCCCCAGUUCAUCCCAGUCCUUCCGCGGCCAAACCUCUGCCCUCCCCCAUAUUUGGCCACGCCCCUUCCAUUGGUCACGCCCCCUCGUUCCGUGCCCCGCCCCCUCCCAUUUCUCCCCCGCCCCCAUUUCCAGUUCCCGCGGCUGCUCUGGGAAGGUGAGUGGAGCCCCAGUGACUCCCAGUUCAUCCCAGUAACCCCCCCCAGUCCCUCCCAGUAACCUCCCAGUAACCCCCCAGUCCAUCCCAGUAACCCCCCAGUAACAUCCCAGUAACCCCCCAUCCAUCCCAGUCUCUCCCAGUUUGCCCAGUUCUCUCCCAGUAGUCCCCAGUUGGUCCCAGUCCCCCCCGGCUCCCCCCAGUUUGUCCCAGUUCCCCCCAGUUCGUCCCAGUCCCGCCCUGCUCAGGAAUCCCAGUGACUCACCCGUCCCCAGUCCCCUCCCAGUCGCUCCCAGUUUGUCCCAGUUUGUCCCAGUCCCCUCCACCCCCUCAGGGAUCAAAGGUGACCGAAUGGAGUGGGAACAGCUCCGGGAACUGGUGAUACUGGGAGGUACUGGUUUGGACUGGGAUGGACUGGGAGGGAACUGGGAGGGACUGGGGGGGACUGGGAUGGACUGGGAGGGACUGGUUUGUACUGGGAGGGACUGGGAGGGAACUGGUUUAUAUUGGGAGGGACUGGGAGGGACUGGGAGGGACUGGUUUGUACUGGGAGGGACUGGGAGGAUUUCGGGGGUUACUGGGAGGAACUGGGCCCAGUCCCAGCCCAAACUGGUUUAACUGGUGUCCCCUCCCCCCCCAGUUCUGUCCCUGGCCAGAGGCGACACCCCGAUGCCUCCAGUCCCUUCCAGUUCGGUGAGUGCGGGAACUGGGAGGGACUGGGAGGGUCCCCAAAGUGUCCCCAAAGUGUCCCCAAGGUGUCACCAGGGUGUCCCCAAGGUGUCCCCAGGUGUCCACAGGUGUCCCCAAAGUGUCCCCAAGGUGUCCCCAGGUACUCCCAGGUGUCCCCAACGUGUCCCCAGGUGUCCCCAAGGUACCCCCAGCUGUCCCAGUGUCCCUGUCCCUGUCCCAGACUGGUGUCACCUGCACGUCGGUGGCCUCGCGGUGGCCGCAGUGCUGAGCGUGCUGGGGGUCGUCGUCCAGUGAGUGCCGCCCCUGUCACCUGUGUGUCACCUGUGUGUCACCUGUGUGUCACCUGUAUGUCACCUGUGUGUCACCUGUGUCACCUGUGUGUCACCUGUGUCACCUGUGUGUCACCUCUGUGUCACCUCUGUGUCAGCUGUAUGUCACCUGUGUGUCACCUGUGUCACCUGUGUGUCACCUGUGUGUCACCUGUGUGUCACCUGUGUCACCUGUGUGUCACCUCUGUGUCACCUCUGUGUCACCUCUGUGUCCCCUCAGGUGGGAAGUGCAAGUGCCGGAGCAAGGCCAGGUGA